AACGAGACCUUAACCUGCUAAAUAGCCAGGCUAGCUUUAAAAGGUCGCCGGCUUCUAAGAGGGAAGAGAGGAGAAAGAAGAGGGAAGGGGGAGGAAAGAAAAGGGCUGUGAUACAAAAAGAGUGUCGGGAAAACACGCGCGCUACACUGACAGAGAAAGCGAGUUCAUCACCUUAUCCGAAAGGUCUGGGUAAUCUUGUGAAACUCU
Molecule: ribosomal RNA, 207 nt
Filed under: Leotiomycetes sp.
Lineage: Eukaryota; Fungi; Ascomycota; Leotiomycetes
Description: partial small subunit ribosomal RNA
Rfam family: Eukaryotic small subunit ribosomal RNA
Source: RNAcentral